GUGCCAGCAGCCGCGGUAAUACGUAGGGAGCGAACGUUGUCCGGAUUUAUUGGGCGUAAAGGGCUCGUAGGCGGUUCAGCAAGUCGGUCGUGAAAGCCCGGGGCUCAACCCCGGGACGCCGGUCGAAACUGCUGUGACUUGAGUUCGGUAGAGGUGAGUGGAAUUCUCGGUGUAGCGGUGGAAUGCGCAGAUAUCGAGAGGAACACCCGUAGCGAAGGCGGCUCACUGGGCCGAUACUGACGCUGAGGUGCGAAAGCGUGGGGAGCAAACAGGAUUAGAUACCCCCGUAGUCC
This 293-nucleotide ribosomal RNA is filed under the name uncultured prokaryote. Its description in RNAcentral is "partial 16S ribosomal RNA". It matches the Rfam family "Bacterial small subunit ribosomal RNA", at positions 505 to 796 of the family's 1533-position model. The record is from RNAcentral.